Molecule: long non-coding RNA, 299 nt
Filed under: Callithrix jacchus (white-tufted-ear marmoset)
Lineage: Eukaryota; Metazoa; Chordata; Mammalia; Primates; Cebidae
Description: lncRNA (ENSCJAG00000069718.1)
Source: RNAcentral
AGAAGAACAGGCCUAUGUGUGAUAAAAAAGAGGAAAAGGCCUGGAAGAAGUGGGUUUUGGAUUAUUUUUGCCAGUUUUGUGUCUCGAUGUGAGGACAUUUUAUAUACACCUCUCCCCUUCCUCUCCUCCAUCCUCCCAGCUGUGCUGCUGGGUCUCGCAGCACAUCAAAGUGGAAGGAUCUCAACGCCUGUCUCAGGAGACAUUGCACAGUUCAAAGUUCACAGACGUGAAUUGUGAAGAUUCUUCUAGAUGGAAAUAUCUCAGCUCAUAAUCCUCGAAAGAAUAAGUGCCUGGAGCUU